GACGAACGCUGGCGGCGUGCUUAACACAUGCCAGUCGAACGGAAAGGCCCUGCUUUUGUGGGGUGCUCGAGUGGCGAACGGGUGAGUAACACGUGAGUAACCUGCCCUUGACUUUGGGAUAACUUCAGGAAACUGGGGCUAAUACCGGAUAGGAGCUCCUGCUGCAUGGUGGGGGUUGGAAAGUUUCGGCGGUUGGGGAUGGACUCGCGGCUUAUCAGCUUGUUGGUGGGGUAGUGGCUUACCAAGGCUUUGACGGGUAGCCGGCCUGAGAGGGUGACCGGCCACAUUGGGCCUGAGGUACGGCCCAGACUCCUACGGGAGGCAGCAGUGGGGAAUAUUGCACAAUGGGCGGAAGCCUGAUGCAGCAACGCCGCGUGCGGGAUGACGGCCUUCGGGUUGUAAACCGCUUUCGCCUGUGACGAAGCGUGAGUGACGGUAAUGGGUAAAGAAGCACCGGCUAACUACGUG
RNAcentral lists this ribosomal RNA (468 nucleotides) under uncultured bacterium. RNAcentral's name for it is "partial 16S ribosomal RNA". It matches the Rfam family "Bacterial small subunit ribosomal RNA", at positions 28 to 507 of the family's 1533-position model. The record is from RNAcentral.